UGGGGGAUAUUGGUCAAUGGGGGAAACCCUGAACCAGCGACGCCGCGUGAGGGAAGACGGUCUUCGGAUUGUAAACCUCUGUUCUCGGGGAAGAAAAUGACGGUACCCGAGGAGAAAGCCACGGCUAACUACGUGCCAGCAGCCGCGGUAAUACGUAGGUGGCGAGCGUUGUCCGGAAUUACUGGGUGUAAAGGGAGCGUAGGCGGGACGUCAAGUCUAGUGUUAAAUACAUCGGCUCAACCGGUGUCCGCGCUAGAAACUGACGUUCUUGAGUGAAGUAGAGGUAGGCGGAAUUCCUAGUGUAGCGGUGGAAUGCGUAGAUAUUAGGAGGAACACCAGUGGCGAAGGCGGCCUACUGGGCUUUAACUGACGCUGAAGCUCGAAAGCGUGGGGAGCAAACA
This 401-nucleotide ribosomal RNA is filed under the name uncultured Anaerotruncus sp. Its description in RNAcentral is "partial 16S ribosomal RNA". It matches the Rfam family "Bacterial small subunit ribosomal RNA", at positions 355 to 774 of the family's 1533-position model. The record is from RNAcentral. Lineage: Bacteria; Bacillati; Bacillota; Clostridia; Eubacteriales; Oscillospiraceae.